This 406-nucleotide ribosomal RNA is filed under the name uncultured bacterium. RNAcentral describes it as "partial 16S ribosomal RNA". It matches the Rfam family "Bacterial small subunit ribosomal RNA", at positions 29 to 526 of the family's 1533-position model. The record is from RNAcentral.
AUUGAACGCUGGCGGCAGGCCUAACACAUGCAAGUCGAGCGAGCGGCGGACGGGUGCGUAAUGUCUGGGAAACUGCCUGAUGGCAGGGGAUAACUACUGGAAACGGUAGCUAAUACCGCAUACCAUCAGAUGUGCCCAGAUGGGAUGAGCUAGUGGGUGGGGUAACGGCUCACCUAGGCGACGAUCCCUAGCGGGUCUGAGAGGAUGACCAGCAAAACGGGAACGGAGACACGGUCCAGACCCCUACGGGAGGCAGCAGUGGGGAAUAUUGCGCAAUGGGGGAAAGCCGGAGGCAGCCAGGCCGCGUGUGUGAGGAAGGCCUUGGGGUUUUAAAGCACUUUCAGCGGGGAGGCGUUACCCGAAGAGAAAGCACCGGCUAACUCCGUGCCAGCAGCCGCGGUAAUUC